Molecule: non-coding RNA, 794 nt
Organism: Tetranychus urticae (two-spotted spider mite)
Lineage: Eukaryota; Metazoa; Arthropoda; Arachnida; Trombidiformes; Tetranychidae
Source: RefSeq, a predicted model, not a curated record
UUUUAUAUCAGCUCAUGAUAGCUAACUAAUUGAUCUAAUCAAACUAGACGAUUUCUUGAACUGAUACAAAUUUAAUUUCAAGAGAUUUUCUACCAAAACUAUAAGCUAAAUUAAGUAGCAAAUUGUGACUCAAGUCAAUUAUGUCAACAGUAUCUUCUUUCACCGAACGCGCCAUCAUCGGUAACGUCGAUCGGAUUGGUGCAGAUAAAAGGAAAGACUAGAGAAAAUAGUUCAUACGAAUAUUGGAUAACAUUAUGUGUACCAUCGGAAUGGCUCUGGUAAACUGGAAAAUGCUUAUAAAUCAGUGAUGAAUUGUAUGCCAUUGAUAAAACGUAAUUAAGAGCAAGUAUCUAAAAAUUAACUAUUGUUGAAAGCUUCAUUUACGUGGACAAAUCUGGUGAAUACAAAAAAAAGCUGAAACAAAAAGGCUACAAUUGAUGCAAAGAAACAAAGAGAUCAAAAGGACAGCCAAUGAAUGCGUUUUCACCUCUGAUUCUAUUUCUUUUCUUUUAUAUUCUCCCUAAGAGACAUUUCAUCAAUUUGGAAUCAUGAUUAUUCGAGAAAAAGGAUCCAAAUAAUCAACACGUAGCAUGGACAUAAAGUAGGACGGAAAACAAAAGCAAUGGAAACACUUGAGUGAUUUGGUUACCUUGCCUCAUCUUUUAUAUGUUCAACUCAAUUUAAACUCACUUACACUGAUUUACAGAUUGUCUUUAUGGCUGCUGCUCUUACACAAUUAACGAAAAAUCAAUAGAUUGACAAUGUAUGCUAAACCGGAGGUUAAAAAAGCUUAA